AGAGUUUGAUCAUGGCUCAGAGCGAACGCUGGCGGCAGGCUUAACACAUGCAAGUCGAGCGGGCGCAGCAAUGCGUCAGCGGCAGACGGGAGAGUAACACGUGGGAACGCGCCCUUCGGUUCGGAAUAACUCAGGGAAACUUGAGCUAAUACCGGAUACGCCCUAACGGGGAAAGAUUUAUCGCCGAAGGAACGGCCCGCGUCUGAUUAGCUAGUUGGUGAGGUAAUGGCUCACCAAGGCGACGAUCAGUAGCUGGUCUGAGAGGAUGGCCAGCCUCACUGGGACUGAGACACGGCCCAGACUCCUACGGGAGGCAGCAGUGGGGAAUAUUGGACAAUGGGCGAAAGCCUGAUCCAGCAAUGCCGCGUGAGUGAUGAAGGCCUUAGGGUUGUAAAGCUCUUUUACCCGGGAUGAUAAUGACAGUACCGGGAGAAUAAGCCCCGGCUAACUCCGUGCCAGCCGCCGCGGUAAUAC
RNAcentral lists this ribosomal RNA (474 nucleotides) under uncultured bacterium. Its description in RNAcentral is "bacterial SSU rRNA". It matches the Rfam family "Bacterial small subunit ribosomal RNA", at positions 8 to 526 of the family's 1533-position model. The record is from RNAcentral.